UAUCAUUAACUGAAUCCAUAGGUUAAUGAGGCGAACCGGGGGAACUGAAACAUCUAAGUACCCCGAGGAAAAGAAAUCAACCGAGAUUCCCCCAGUAGCGGCGAGCGAACGGGGAGCAGCCCAGAGCCUGAAUCAGUAUGUGUGUUAGUGGAAGCGUCUGGAAAGGCGCGCGAUACAGGGUGACAGCCCCGUACACAAAAAUGCACAUGCUGUGAGCUCGAUGAGUAGGGCGGGACACGUGGUAUCCUGUCUGAAUAUGGGGGGACCAUCCUCCAAGGCUAAAUACUCCUGACUGACCGAUAGUGAACCAGUACCGUGAGGGAAAGGCGAAAAGAACCCCGGCGAGGGGAGUGAAAAAGAACCUGAAACCGUGUACGUACAAGCAGUGGGAGCACGCUUAGGCGUGUGACUGCGUACCUUUUGUAUAAUGGGUCAGCGACUUAUAUUCUGUAGCAAGGUUAACCGAAUAGGGGAGCCGAAGGGAAACCGAGUCUUAACUGGGCGUUAAGUUGCAGGGUAUAGACCCGAAACCCGGUGAUCUAGCCAUGGGCAGGUUGAAGGUUGGGUAACACUAACUGGAGGACCGAACCGACUAAUGUUGAAAAAUUAGCGGAUGACUUGUGGCUGGGGGUGAAAGGCCAAUCAAACCGGGAGAUAGCUGGUUCUCCCCGAAAGCUAUUUAGGUAGCGCCUCGUGAAUUCAUCUCCGGGGGUAGAGCACUGUUUCGGCAAGGGGGUCAUCCCGACUUACCAACCCGAUGCAAACUGCGAAUACCGGAGAAUGUUAUCACGGGAGACACACGGCGGGUGCUAACGUCCGUCGUGAAGAGGGAAACAACCCAGACCGCCAGCUAAGGUCCCAAAGUCAUGGUUAAGUGGGAAACGAUGUGGGAAGGCCCAGACAGCCAGGAUGUUGGCUUAGAAGCAGCCAUCAUUUAAAGAAAGCGUAAUAGCUCACUGGUCGAGUCGGCCUGCGCGGAAGAUGUAACGGGGCUAAACCAUGCACCGAAGCUGCGGCAGCGACGCUGAUGCGUUGUUGGGUA
Molecule: ribosomal RNA, 1042 nt
Filed under: Escherichia coli
Lineage: Bacteria; Pseudomonadati; Pseudomonadota; Gammaproteobacteria; Enterobacterales; Enterobacteriaceae
Description: partial 23S ribosomal RNA
Rfam family: Bacterial large subunit ribosomal RNA
Source: RNAcentral